RNAcentral lists this long non-coding RNA (66 nucleotides) under Sus scrofa (pig). RNAcentral describes it as "lncRNA (ENSSSCG00070024710.1)". Lineage: Eukaryota; Metazoa; Chordata; Mammalia; Artiodactyla; Suidae. The record is from RNAcentral.
AAUAUAUAUUUUAAAAUGCACGGAAGACACAGAGAAGAAAACAAGGCUACCCAAAUCUGACGGCCU